UGCAAGUCGAACGAGGUCCAUGGUAGCUUGCUCCAGAAGACCUAGUGGCGAACGGGUGCGUAACACGUGAGAAACCUGCCCCGAUCUCUGGGAUAACAGUUGGAAACGACUGCUAAUACCGGAUGCCGUCACACCGCUUCAUGGCGGAGUGACGAAAGAUUUAUCGGAUUGGGAGGGUCUCGCGGCCUAUCAGCUAGUUGGAGAGGUAACGGCUCACCAAGGCAUCGACGGGUAGCUGGUCUGAGAGGAUGAUCAGCCACACUGGGACUGAGACACGGCCCAGACUCCUACGGGAGGCAGCAGUGGGGAAUCUUGCACAAUGGGCGAAAGCCUGAUGCAGCAACGCCGCGUGCGGGAUGAAGGCCCUAGGGUUGUAAACCGCUUUCAGUAGGGAAGAAAAUGACGGUACCUACAGAAGAAGGUGCGGCCAACUACGUGCCAGCAGCCGCGGUGACACGUAGGCACCAAGCGUUAUCCGGAUUUAUUGGGCGUAAAGAGCUCGUAGGCGGUUCGGUAAGUCGGGUGUAAAAACUCUGGGCUCAACCCAGAGAGGCCAUCCGAUACUGCUGUGACUAGAGUGCGGUA
Molecule: ribosomal RNA, 585 nt
Filed under: uncultured bacterium
Lineage: Bacteria
Description: bacterial SSU rRNA
Rfam family: Bacterial small subunit ribosomal RNA
Source: RNAcentral